Molecule: transfer RNA, 18 nt
Filed under: Aphelandra leonardii
Lineage: Eukaryota; Viridiplantae; Streptophyta; Magnoliopsida; Lamiales; Acanthaceae
Description: partial tRNA-His
Source: RNAcentral
AUGUAGCCAAGUGAUCCA